UGAUGAAAGUAUGAUUCAAGUUGUAAAUCAAGUUCCAUCUGUGUAGGAUCUCUUGGUGAGAUCCUUAGUGUUUUAGAAUGAAAGUAGGAGCUCAGUCUUAGGGGUCAUUCUGAAACUCUAAUGGCUAAUCAUACUCAAGUAGAGGGAUUAAUCCAUGUGGUGAGGAGUAGCAGGAGGUCUUAGUCUUGGGGGCUUCCAGUAUGCCUCAAGGCCCGGAACAGGCUAACCUCGUGAGUGUGGCAGGGUGGGGAACCCAAGUUUCAUAAGUCACCGCGAGUGCAGGACCCGCCAUAGCUCGACUAUCAUUCUAAAAUCCGGACGAAUCAAGUCUAGAAGAUAACAUGCUAGGAUAGGAAGAUGAGGUUUCUUUGGAGGCAACAUUGGAGAGAAAUGAAGAUGAUGCUGCAGCUUAGACUCACUAGGAAUUCUUAGUUCUCUUAUGUCAUUUUGAAGUUUUAAUUUCUUAGUAAAUUCUGGAAAACU
This 483-nucleotide small RNA is filed under the name Vigna angularis var. angularis. RNAcentral's name for it is "Non-protein coding transcript". Lineage: Eukaryota; Viridiplantae; Streptophyta; Magnoliopsida; Fabales; Fabaceae. The record is from RNAcentral.